This 250-nucleotide ribosomal RNA is filed under the name uncultured bacterium. RNAcentral describes it as "partial 16S ribosomal RNA". It matches the Rfam family "Bacterial small subunit ribosomal RNA", at positions 524 to 773 of the family's 1533-position model. The record is from RNAcentral.
UACGUAGGUGGCAAGCGUUGUCCGGAAUUACUGGGCGUAAAGGGUGCGUAGGCGGUUUAUUAAGUCAGAUGUGAAAUUCCGGGGCUCAACUUCGGAAUUGCAUUUGAAACUGGUAAGCUAGAGUGCAGGAGAGGAAAGCGGAAUUCCUAGUGUAGCGGUGAAAUGCGUAGAUAUUAGGAAGAACACCAGUGGCGAAGGCGGCUUUCUGGACUGUAACUGACGCUGAGGCACGAAAGCGUGGGGAGCAAAC